CGCUGAACUUAAGCAUAUCAUAAGCGGAGGAAAAGAAACCAACAGGGAUUGCCUCAGUAACGGCGAGUGAAGUGGCAACAGCUCAAAUUUGAAAUCUGGUUCCUUUUGGGGCCCGAGUUGUAAUUUGUAGAGGAUGCCUUCGGGUUUGGCCCUGGCCUAAGUUCCUUGGAACAGGACGUCAUAGAGGGUGAGAAUCCCGUAUGUGGCUGGUGGUCUAUACCCAUGUGAAGCUCCUUCGACGAGUCGAGUUGUUUGGGAAUGCAGCUCAAAAUGGGUGGUAAGUUUCAUCUAAAGCUAAAUACUGGCGGGAGACCGAUAGCGCACAAGUAGAGUGAUCGAAAGAUGAAAAGCACUUUGGAAAGAGAGUUAAAAAGUACGUGAAAUUGUUGAAAGGGAAGCGCUUGCAACCAGACUUGCCCUUGGUUGAUCAACCUGGUGUUCUUCACCGGUGCACUCUGCUAAGGUCAGGCCAGCAUCGGUUUGGGUGGUUGGAGAAAGACCAUGGGAAUGUGACUUCCUUUCAGGGAGUGUUAUAGCCCUAGGUGUCAUGCGACCAGCCUGGACUGAGGACCGCGCCUUUAGUGGCUAGGAUGCUGGCAUAAUGGUUGUAAGCGACCGUCUUGAAACACGGACC
This 634-nucleotide ribosomal RNA is filed under the name Trichoglossum beninense. RNAcentral's name for it is "partial large subunit ribosomal RNA". It matches the Rfam family "Eukaryotic large subunit ribosomal RNA", at positions 26 to 667 of the family's 3401-position model. Lineage: Eukaryota; Fungi; Ascomycota; Geoglossomycetes; Geoglossales; Geoglossaceae. The record is from RNAcentral.